UUUUGUACUUGUUUCUAUUUGUGAGAUUCCACAGGGAGGUGCUUUGGGCUGUACAAUAAAAUAAGAUCUAAAUUUGAAUUUGCCAAAUACAUAAGCAUAUGACUAAAUAGGUGGAAAUUUUCUGACUAGGGUCUUCAUCAUCCAUCAAUAGCAAUGCUAUUAGCCUUUGCCUCCCAGAUGAGAGGGGAGUAACUUUCCCCUUUCUCUUCUAUGGAAGCUGUAGUGGUAUGCAUUUACAUAAGCUUGACUUCUUUAUGGAGAAAGGGCAAG
Molecule: long non-coding RNA, 270 nt
Filed under: Bos taurus (domestic cattle)
Lineage: Eukaryota; Metazoa; Chordata; Mammalia; Artiodactyla; Bovidae
Description: long non-coding RNA NONBTAT022620
Source: RNAcentral